GACGAACGCUGGCGGCGUGCUUAACACAUGCAAGUCGAGCGGUAAGGCCCUUUCGGGGGUACGACGAGCGGCGAACGGGUGAGUAACACGUGGGUGACCUGCCCUCAGCUCUGGGAUAAGCCUGGGAAACCGGGUCUAAUACUGGAUAUGACUCCAUGACGCAUGUUGUGGGGUGGAAAGCCUUGUGCGGCUGAGGAUGGGCCCGCGGCCUAUCAGCUUGUUGGUGGGGUGAUGGCCUACCAAGGCGACGACGGGUAGCCGGCCUGAGAGGGCGACCGGGCCACACUGGGACUGAGACACGGCCCAGACUCCUACGGGAGGCAGCAGUGGGGAAUUUUGGACAAUGGGGGCAACCCUGAUCCAGCCAUUCCGCGUGAGUGAAGAAGGCCUCGG
RNAcentral lists this ribosomal RNA (393 nucleotides) under uncultured bacterium. RNAcentral's name for it is "bacterial SSU rRNA". It matches the Rfam family "Bacterial small subunit ribosomal RNA", at positions 28 to 420 of the family's 1533-position model. The record is from RNAcentral.